CAAUGGUGGCAACUGAUCCAAACAUCACUUCUCUGGGCUCUACCAUAGAGGUAUAUUUAUCAUUAUCUAGCACGAAGCAGUCCCAAUCACCGGUCAAGAAACUUUUAGUUGCUUCUUUUACAAUAAUUCAAUUCGACUAUGGUUAACAAGUUUGGAAUUUGUAGUGGCGUGUUGUAUUGUAUUGUAAGACUUCUAGUCUACUAGACAGUUACUGUCAACUGUUUCAGCCAAC
This 232-nucleotide long non-coding RNA is filed under the name Capsicum annuum. RNAcentral describes it as "long non-coding RNA (CANN_LNC004335)". Lineage: Eukaryota; Viridiplantae; Streptophyta; Magnoliopsida; Solanales; Solanaceae. The record is from RNAcentral.